This 960-nucleotide long non-coding RNA is filed under the name Rattus norvegicus (Norway rat). RNAcentral's name for it is "long non-coding RNA NONRATT010688". Lineage: Eukaryota; Metazoa; Chordata; Mammalia; Rodentia; Muridae. The record is from RNAcentral.
AAGACAGUGACUGUGUGCAGCUGUGGGGUUUUCUUCAGCGGACUAGAUCUGUUAAGUGAGGUUUACCCUGGGACAGCAGGCAUUAUUAAACAGCCCACUAUUUAUUCAGUGGCAGUGUCUUCAGCACUGGAUAUGAGGAAACCGUACAGCUGGGGCCCUGGGAAUGAGGCAGUGGAAAGACAGCCCGUUUUCUCGCGGGCCUUACAUAAUAAAGGGUAUAGGCAACGAAGAAACGUGCAAAUAAUUGUAGUCAGAGUAAUUAUGGGAUGCAGAUCACCUCAGAGAGACCCAAGCACUGGCACGGACGUUUAGUAAUAAGGAAAUGAGGAGAGAGCAGCUGCUGUCCUUGAUAAAGCAUCCUCCUCGGGCUUCAUCUUGCCACGUCUUACAGCACAGUAUUUCUGGGCUUCCUGGGGAGUUGUUGGGAGAGCUGGUUGUGACCUCACCUAAACGCCCACUGCCCUGUGGAGGUAAUACCAUGCCACAAGCAAGCAACGUGAGAACAGGGGCUCAGACAGCUCACAAACACAGCCGGGGGCACAGAUGGGACUCCUGAGUGUCUCUCCUAUCGCUCGUCUACUAUCUGGUUGGAAGCUGUUGACCAGCAGUAGCGCGCCCUUCUCCCUCCGGCCCCCGGGGGGUUCCAACACUGGAAGGCGCACCAUCUAAUACUUCACUGUCCUCCUGUUUAGCGUUUGGUUGGUGUUUCUGCCGUUGGUGCUUUAAAAGCCAGUCCCUAAUGGUCUGAGUUAAACAGACCCUCCUGUGAAAACAGACACUGCAGCCAGCCCCUGCCGGAUCCCAGGCCUGACACUGCGGGUAGUGAAGCCAGAAGCAGGGUAGGGAGCAGAGUUGGGGAUUUGUGCUAAGUCCAGCGGGAGCUCAUUCUUACGCAUUUAUUUUCUUCUUGACUUGGAUCUUUAAUUUAUUACUGUGAGGAAAACCACAUAAUUGUAAAAA